Lathyrus oleraceus (garden pea) is the source of this 1087-nucleotide long non-coding RNA. RefSeq lists it as uncharacterized. The record is from RefSeq and is a predicted model, not a curated record. The transcript has 2 exons. NCBI's taxonomy places the organism in Eukaryota, Viridiplantae, Streptophyta, Magnoliopsida, Fabales, Fabaceae.
CUGUACGAAGGAAAAAAGAAAAAAGACAAAAAAAAAUUUCUUUAUCUCUCACGCUCAGAUCCCCUCUCUCAUUCACGGACCAUUCACUAUUCACCCAUCACUCACAAUUCCUCUUCACUCUCACCGAAAACCCUCCAAUCGUUCCAUCACCCCACGCUCACCUCCACCAGUCAAAACCCUUCAUCACCAUCAACCUUCCACCAACUGAAACGCACAAGCUCUUCGCGACGCUUUCGCCGGCGAAUCCGUUUCAAUCGUUUCCGUCACCGUCAAAACCUCACCCUCUUCAUCGCUUCCCACACAAAUCCUUCAAACCUCGCCGUCAAACCACAAGAAACCCCUUCCGUCGCGCUCUCACCGACAAACCCAUCCAAAACCCUUCAUCGCUCCGCCUUAACCCUCAAAACCCACACGAAGCUCAGCCGUUAACCCCCUCAACUCACCAAACGACAAACCCUUAUCACCGCCGGCAACCCGUGCUUCGCCUUCAACCGCGUAUCCUCCGCACCUCUUGUUCCAACUCUGUUCGGACAGCUGCGAGUUGGCAAGGCGUUUUAGAUUGUAAAACUGUUUGGUUUUAAUUCUUUUGUUUAUGCAGAUAAUGGUUUGGAAUGAAAGGCUAAAAAGCACCGGAUUCAUUUCACCAACUAUGGAGUUUCAAGUUUAACAAGCACUUCGAGACGUUGACGCCCUAUUUUUGCAUUCGAACUCAAAAAUUAAUGUCGGCAUUUUGAUUGCAUUACGCAUCGGCUUUACUGUAGAAGUUUAUUUCGAUUCCAUAUGUUUCAUGACAGAAUGUGUUUUGGAAUAAGUGUUGGAUUUAUGUCGACAUCGCGGUAAUCCUGUAAAAAAAUUAAGUUGUUCUUAUUAUGUUGGUAACUCUUACUGCUUUCUUUUUUCAGUAGAAACAUAUAAUGUGAUAGUACUACUUUCGGUAGUCUUUAAGUCAUUUUCAUUAUGUUGGAUACUUUGAAAAAAGCACAUAUUGCAGGAAGGCCUAUGUAUCUGUCAUGAAUGGACGAUUGGCAUAUCAAUUUUAGAGUUGUGAAUGACUUGGUUUUAGAAAUGCUUCUUCUUGGUUUAGUUA